UCAUUAACAAAUUUAUGAUUAUUCUUCAUCAGGGCAAUUUUUUUAACAGUUUUGCAUGUGCACCCAGUUUUCACACAUUUCCUGGAUUAACAAGGAGGAGACAUCCACCUUUGCCUUCUCUUCACCUGAAAAAAAAUACACCUGCUACCAGCUGUUGCUACUCCCUUCUGGCCUAUACUUCCCAAGUUCAUCAUGUCAACAAGUUCUAGCAGCUCCAUCAGCAAAUGCAUCUCAUUCACAUUGAUCAUCACAGCACAUGCCAGCGGGAUAGUCAUUGAAUGUUGAAUGUGUUCAAAUAAAUCAACUAGACAUGAGAGAACCUCA
This 324-nucleotide long non-coding RNA is filed under the name Monodelphis domestica (gray short-tailed opossum). RNAcentral's name for it is "lncRNA (ENSMODG00000042743.1)". Lineage: Eukaryota; Metazoa; Chordata; Mammalia; Didelphimorphia; Didelphidae. The record is from RNAcentral.